UGCCAGCAGCCGCGGUAAUACGAAGGGGGCUAGCGUUGUUCGGAAUUACUGGGCGUAAAGCGCACGUAGGCGGACUUUUAAGUCAGAUGUGAAAUCCCGAGGCUUAACCUCGGAAUUGCUUUUGAAACUCCAAGUCUCGAGUCCCGGAGGGGUUGACGGAAUUCCGAGUGUAGAGGUGAAAUUCGCAGAUAUUCGGAGGAACACCAGUGGCGUAGGCGGCUAACUGGCUCGGUACUGACGCUGAGAUGCGAAAGCGUGGGGAGCAAACAGAAUUAGAUG
RNAcentral lists this ribosomal RNA (279 nucleotides) under uncultured bacterium. Its description in RNAcentral is "partial 16S ribosomal RNA". It matches the Rfam family "Bacterial small subunit ribosomal RNA", at positions 506 to 784 of the family's 1533-position model. The record is from RNAcentral.